Molecule: non-coding RNA, 5319 nt
Organism: Rattus norvegicus (Norway rat)
Lineage: Eukaryota; Metazoa; Chordata; Mammalia; Rodentia; Muridae
Source: RefSeq, a predicted model, not a curated record
UUUAUUUUAUUUUAUUAUUUAUUAGUUUUAGAGACAUAAAGGGUAUGGACUCAGAUGAAAGGAGAGGGUAAGGAGGAUCUCAGAGGAGUUGCCGGAAAGAAGCUGUAAUCAGAAUAUACUGUUUAAAAAUGUUUUAAAUAAAAGAAAAAUCAAAUGCAUUCAUAUGAAUACAGACACUUAGCAUUUUAUGUAACUCUGGAGUGGAAACUUGAGGGUUCUUUGGAAGUUCAGUUGGAUGGUGUUUUGCUGGGGCAAGCAUGCGAAGAAACAAUUCCUUAAAGUGGGCGCAGGUGUGAAAGGCUAAAGCCGACUCAUGAAGGAAGGUUUUACUGAAGCAGACACAGGAGAGAGGAUGUUCUGCUAAAGCAAGCACAGGAAAGGUCACACGAUGAAGGACUUUUUGCUAAUGACAUUCGAAUGUUGAUCUGCCUUACAUUGUGUAGUUGAGCUGCGUUUGUCGGGACUCCACAGAGAGAAAAAGCACCAAAAAUCUUGUGGUAUGCUGCAGUUGGUUGCCGACUCUGGCUGAUUGGAUGCACAUGCUGAGGCAAGACCUGUGGUGAGCUUAGCUACUGUGAAGAGUGGAGCUGUAAACAUUUAUAUGCUGUGAUGUGUUGACGUGGAGUUCUUCUGGAAAGCACCCAGGAAAGAUGCCUGCUGUCCACUCUACUUCAUUGCACCGGGGCAGUGUCUCCUGCCCUCUUGAAGAUUUGUCCUUUCCCAGGACUCAGCUAGCUGCCUUGACACGUCUCGAGCUCCAUCUACUGACGAGAUGUGCUGUCUCUGCUACUUCUUCAUCCCUCAUCACAAAAGAAGGAAAAGAAAAACAAAAGAACAAGAACAGGAAUACCACAGAGAGGCCAUGUAUGCGACCUGAUAUUGCUUACCAGGAAAGACAUCACAGGGGUGGCUCUGACUGACUAAGUCAUCCUCAACUCUCUGCUUAAGUCGCUAGGGAAGAUAUUUUGGAGCCAUUCUGAUCGUACACCAUAUGCAAAUGAAGGUUUGUGUGUGAAGCAAUCACAGGAACCCUUUUCCUAAGCCACCAGGGCAGGUGCUCCCCUGUGACCUACAUCGGAAAGCUUGCAGGGUCAUCUAGAGUUCAGGGAGAGUUGUGAUGGUCAAAUAGCUGAUAAAAACUGUUUGAAACAGGCUUGCCUUCAGGAGCUGAAGCAAUCGGCUGUGACUGUAAUGUAGGCUCUGGCAGCGUCAGAACAGCCUGGCUGGCUGUUUGACUGAUCCCGAUUGGCUUCAAGGCAGCCAAGGCGGCAGGGAGAUACGAAGAGCUGUUAAUUAAGGAAGCCAGUUGCUCCAGCCCAUACCAUCCUUACUUAGACAUAGGGAAUACACAUCAGGAGGCCUUAUCACAAAAGUUAAUAGCUGGUCAUUGACACUGGUGGUGAGUUUAACAAUGUUUCAAUGGUGCUCUGCGGCUGCAUAUCACAGAUUCCUUCUUGGUUCAACACCAUGUCCCUAAAACCUUUUCCCACUAAGAUAUUAUUCCAAUUCCUACCUGCCCUUUGCUACCCUUGGUGGACAGAAACCAUAAUUAUGCCUGCUGCCUGGCCUUUUGCAUGGGUAAAACUUCUUUUUAAAAUUAUCAAGCACAUGAAAAAUAUCUCCAGCCUUCGCACUAUAGGGAUUUCAUAAGGUAUCACCUUAUGACCAGAAAAAACUAACACAAAACCCAGCAAUAUUAACUUAGUUUAAUGUUUAUAUACUACCACACAGGUGAGAACAUUCUUGUGCAGCAGUGAGGAUAGCCUUUAAGAAACAAGUGCUCAGCUGGUCAGUGGCGGUUCCCAGCUUUAAUCGUAGUAACUUGGGAGGCAGAAGCAGGUGGAUCUCUAUGAGCCUGAGACCAGCCUGGUCUACAGAGUGAGUUCCAUGAUGACUAGGGCUACACAGAGAAACCUUGUCUGGAAAAACAAACAAACAAACAUGUGUUCAUACCAAAGUAGUGACUACAGAAAAGUCACCUUGAAUGCAUGAAACCAGAUAUGGCAAGAGCAAGCAAGUCCCAAUUCCUCCUACAUAGGAACUCUAACCCAAGUAGACCUUCACGGUUUUGUAUUUUUUUAAAAUGCAAGCUACAUUCUGAAAAAAUAUGUCAUCAAGUGAUGAUUUUUGUAUGACCAUCACAAAAUUAAUCAGCCCAAUUUUACUGAUCUAGAUUGAUGGCUGUACCUGGUCCCUGAUAUGACUCAGAAAUGCAGUAAACACAGGUGUCUGGGGUUAUUCGGUUCUGGAAUAAACCCUCUAACUAGUGAGAGCCUUCUCCAACUAAAGGUAAGACCUUAGAUGAGACUACUGCACUCCUGAUCACUAGCAUGCUGUUACUGGGCAGAGGCCACCAUGCCUGGAGUUUUUCAGGUGCACAGAGUACCAGUGUGCCUCUCAGUGCUCAAAGGUCAACUGUAGCAACCGUAUAAGCUUGGCCUAUGGCCAUUUGUUGCCUUUCUCUAGUUUGUUGCAGUGUACAUAAUUGUAUGUGAUGGACUUUUGCAAGCUAGUAAGUUUGUUUACCUCAGCCUCAGAAAACCCAUGCCACGUUUUGUUUCACUGUUGCAAUAGCUAAGAAGUUACUGGGUGACAAGAACUUCUUCUGAGAGCAACACUUUGUAUGCAGUAAGAAGUGACUGAAACCUCAGAGGAGAUGAUAAAGCUUUCCCCUCCUGCUUUAUCAUUUUUUCAGCUUACUUGUAACUGUAUGUCUGAAUUUACUUUGGGGGUGCCUAGGUUUGGCUAUGUAGACAGUGUGGCCCCAGUGGCUUCUUCCCCAUAGAGAGCUAUUUACUAUGAUAAUGAAGAGACAUUUCAGAUUUCUUUACAACACUCUGGCUAUGGAUACCUUAAGAGUUAGCUGCUCUCCAUAAUGAGACUUUCUGUGACAAGGACAAAGCGUCUGAGGAUAGCAUGCACGGUUCUUCUGCACUCCCUGGGGUAAUUGAUCAAAUCCCUCUGAUAUUUCACAGGAAGACAAGCCCAAAUCUUUUACACCCAUAUUAUUCAAUGCAUUUUGGGCAAAUGUUUCAUUUAGAGCAACUGUACUAAUGUCUAGUUGACUGAUAAAAAGAAUACAAUGUUACUUUGGUUUUGUAGCCUGACCUCUUAACAGAAUGGCCAAUGCAUUGUGCUGGAGUGAGUGUUGCUGAGUUUCAAACUGAAAUAAACCAGAAGAAGCUCUUUACCUUCGGGGCCUCAGAAAAUCCCCAAUUGUAGAUUGGUUUUCUAAGUUGAAUACAUUAUCAGGAACAUUCUAAUGUCUUACUAAUCCCUCUGCUUCCUUUUUCCUUGCCUUUGUACUUGCAAUUUGUAUUCAUUUGUUUCCAAAAUAAGUAAAGAUGUGAUUUAUGAUGUGAAAGAAGAUUCUUAGUGUUUUUAACAGAAAUAUUAGUUCCUGUGUUUACAUGUAAAAUUAGUACAGCAGGGAGGAAGAGACGCCCCCUCCCCAAUGGCAUAGCCUCGUGUUAGUCGCUUAAAUAACCCCCACCAUGCUCGCAUCAGCAACCCUAACUAAACCUGAUCUAUCCCAGAAAGAAAACAAAGAGACAAACAACACCAAAAGGACUUUUGCAAUAAAGAAGCAAAACCUCAUUUUACAGUUGAGUAAUGACUAUCAUAUUUGACCUCUGGGUAGACCUUUUAGAUUCCUGGGGGAAAGUAGGGGUGAUCUGCAGUGAACGAAAAGAUUUCAAAUUCAUCCUCUUGGUGAUAUUUAGCAUUUUUGCUUCGGUUGGGCGACCAUGGGUGUUUAUUGUCAGUGUCUUAUUGUGAUUCUCUCUAAUGGCCAUGUUUACAUUUCCUAACUAAUCCCUUAAUAUGCAAAAUAUCAGAUGUUAAAAAACCAUUUGCUUCUGUAUCAUCCAUUCAGUAUCAUUUCUCACGAUGCUUGCUUACACUGUUUUACCCUUUGAUACUCUGUACCUGCCCACAGUACCUUUUGGUUAUUUUCACACCCCUUUACCCUCUCCACUUCUAUAGAAGUCUUUCUUUUCUCCAACAUGUCUCCAUCCUACUGUAUUGGGCCACUGGACUGUGGUUACACCAUCUUGUAAAAGUAUUCUUAAGAAUACUUUAAGUGCUAAAACUAUCGUGGGUAAACUGGCCUCCAGUCACGUAAGACCAGACAGAAACUCAAUGGCCACAGAGAGCAGCCACAGAUUUCUGUAAAAUCUAUCCCUGACCUCCAGGUUAUGAGAACAGUCUGAGCACUUCACUGCUGUCUCUCUGCAUCUGUAAAUGACACCUGUUUGCCACACAUGUCCAGGGAUGCCUUUCUGUAUACAUCACAACUGUGAUAUUUCUGCCUUUUAAAACCUGAAUAAAUUCGGGGUCAUGGGUGCUUCCUGCCACUCUGCCUAGGACAGCCCGUCUAUCAGUGAAUAAAAGCUCCAUAUAACUUGACUUAUUCAGGUCUCUUGAUGAUUUUUGCUUUCCUCAGAGACCCCCAUAACAUUACCACCAUGAAUCGGGGAUCAGGUUUGCUUUGAAUUGCUUCAAAUGCCACGUGGUAGAUUCUUAGUGAAUUUUAAUCACAUUAAUAUUUUCAUUGCACUUAUUUAUCUCUGCGUGUUUGUCUGUCAGCACAGUGCAUGUUUGUCUGUCACCACAGUGCAUGUUUGUCUGUCACCACAGUGAAUGUUUGUCUGUCACCACAGUGCAUAUGUGGAUUCCAGGGACAGAACUCAGUAGGUCAGGCCUGGCUGGAAGUGUCUUUUGCCCCUGAGCCAUCUCCCUAGUCCAGAAUCACAUUUAAUAGAACAGUCCAACACUCUUAAAAUGUUCUUGCUUACUUAAUUUCAUGUCAGACCAUAAGCACAAAUUAACCUGUCUAUAAUUGCCUGAGCCCGUACCACCUCCAUUAUGACCCUGCUUGUUUAAAAGAGGAGAACUCUUAGACUAUUAUAUCUUCUCUUUCCCAGAUUUCUGUUCUAUUUGUUUUUGAGACAGGGAUUCUUUGUGUAACCCUGGCUGUCCUAGAAUAGCUCCGUGGAUCCCAUUGGCCUGGAACUCGCAGAGGUCUGCAUGGCUGAUGGCUAGGAUUAAAGACUACACCCCUAGCUCCUUCCCAACUUUAAGGAAAAGAGGAAGAAAAGCAGAGCAGCAAUGAUCUGGGUCAUGCUAUCAUCACUAAACACUAAACAUUCACCAGCAACUUCUGUUUCAUGCAGGCGUAUGUAUGUAUGUAUGUAUGUAUGUAUGUAUGUAUGUGUGUAUGCAUGUGUGUAUGUAUAUAUAUUAUGUAUACAUCAUAUUUUAAAGUAUCUUUAAGUAUAACUCAACUGUGGGAUUUAAAUAAAAAUGUUUUAAGCUCUC